Long non-coding RNA from Cervus elaphus (red deer), 701 nucleotides. RefSeq lists it as uncharacterized. Lineage: Eukaryota; Metazoa; Chordata; Mammalia; Artiodactyla; Cervidae. The transcript has 4 exons. The record is from RefSeq and is a predicted model, not a curated record.
GGAUGGGGCUUUGUACAAACUCGAGGCAAGUCCCCGCCCACUGUCCUUGGGGAGGAGGUGGGGUCACCCCAGUCUCUACACAGAUGGAGCAGAGAGUACUGAGUUCUCUUUAAUGAUGUGAAUCUGUGUCUUUUUAACCACCCUUUUACCCUGGAGGAGGAGUAGGGGGAAAGUCUUCCCAGAGAGAGAUCCCAACAGCAGGUUAGGUGCCUCCAUGGGAGGUCUUUGCGGACUGAAUAAUGGAGAUGAGGAAGCUGCCUCGGACCCAUGUAACUGGUUUGAGUCAUCCAGUCAUUCAUAAAUUCACUGAAGCUCUGCUGGCUUUGGGAAUUUACUGCACUUUUCUAGGUCUCGGGAAUACAACAGCGAAGAAAACGGACAUAAAUGGAACUUGAAUUCCAGUGUGGGUGGAGGGAGACAGACAAUAGAGGAGAUACAUCGUUGUAUUAGCUGGCGAUAAGUACUAUGGAGAAAAACUGGGAAAGAAGGUGAGGAAAUGUGAGGCACAGUGUAUGAAAGCUGCAAAAGGAAGAAACCAGCUGGUCUCAGUUUGCAGCAUUCGGGAUCCUUGGCUGCGACCUGUGAACUCUGAGUGGCCGCCUGUGGGAUCUAACUCCCUGAGCAGGAAUUGAACCCAGCUCCCCUGCGUGGGGAGCGCAGAGUCUUAGCCUCGGGACCACCAGGCAAGUGUCGAAACAGGA